AUACGGAGGGUGCAAGCGUUAAUCGGAAUUACUGGGCGUAAAGCGCACGCAGGCGGUUUGUUAAGUCAGAUGUGAAAUCCCCGGGCUCCACCUGGGAACUGCAUCUGAUACUGGCAAGCUUGAGUCUCGUAGAGGGGGGAAGAAUUCCAGGUGUAGCGGUGAAAUGCGUAGAGAUCUGGAGGAAUACCGGUGGCGAAGGCGGCCCCCUGGACGAAGACUGACGCUCAGGUGCGAAAGCGUGGGGAGCAAACAGGAUUAGAUACCCUGGUAGUCCACGCCGUAAACGAUGUCGACUUGGAGGUUGUGCCCUUGAGGCGUGGCUUCCGGAGCUAACGCGUUAAGUCGACCGCCUGGGGAGUACGGCCGCAAGGUUAAAACUCAAAUGAAUUGACGGGG
This 396-nucleotide ribosomal RNA is filed under the name uncultured bacterium. RNAcentral describes it as "partial 16S ribosomal RNA". It matches the Rfam family "Bacterial small subunit ribosomal RNA", at positions 523 to 918 of the family's 1533-position model. The record is from RNAcentral.